GGGUGACAUCAGACGGGUGAAGGAUUCUACAGGUAGUAAAAGUAAAUGUGGAAUUUGUUGAAGACAGACACUUGCCAGGAUUCGAGGCAGUGAGUGGUACUGCUACUGAAGUAAUAGGUGACAGGAAAAUCCCUGACACCGGUUUUGCCACUGCAGACUUCUUUUUCUCUGGGAAGGAUUGUUGCACUUGAAAUGUUAUACCACCUUCC
This 209-nucleotide long non-coding RNA is filed under the name Gallus gallus (chicken). The record is from RNAcentral. Lineage: Eukaryota; Metazoa; Chordata; Aves; Galliformes; Phasianidae.